UAGGGAAUCUUCCGCAAUGGACGAAAGUCUGACGGAGCAACGCCGCGUGAGUGAUGAAGGCCUUAGGGUUGUAAAACUCUUUUCAGGGAUCUUAAAGCCUGUCUGUCAACAACAGGCAGAUCUGACUCUCCCUGGAAGAAGCCCCAGCCAACUACGUGCCAGCAGCUGCGGUAAUACGUAGGGGGCGAGCGUUAUUCGGAAUUACUGGGUGUAAAGGGUAUGUAGGCGGCCCUUCAAGUCGCGUGUCAAAGUCCAGUGCUCAACGCUGGGUGUGCACGCGAUACUGACGGGCUUGAGGGCUGGAGAGGUGAGCGGAAUUCCCGGUGUAGUGGUAAAAUACGUAGAGAUCGGGAGGAACACCAGCGGCGCAGGCGGCUCACUAGACAGUUUCUGACGCUAAGAUACGAAAGCGUGGGGAGCAAACA
Molecule: ribosomal RNA, 425 nt
Filed under: uncultured prokaryote
Description: bacterial SSU rRNA
Rfam family: Bacterial small subunit ribosomal RNA
Source: RNAcentral